AAGUAAUGUUUCCUUGUUAGAAGAGACAAACCAAAGACUCAUACGGACUUCGGCUACACCAUCAAAGCAUUGAGACAAUGAAGAAGC
This 87-nucleotide small RNA is filed under the name Arabidopsis thaliana (thale cress). Its description in RNAcentral is "ATSL198680". Lineage: Eukaryota; Viridiplantae; Streptophyta; Magnoliopsida; Brassicales; Brassicaceae. The record is from RNAcentral.